GAUGAACGCUGGCGGCGUGCCUAAUACAUGCAAGUCGAGCGAACAGAUGAGGAGCUUGCUCCUCUGACGUUAGCGGCGGACGGGUGAGUAACACGUGGAUAACCUACCUAUAAGACUGGGAUAACUUCGGGAAACCGGAGCUAAUACCGGAUAAUAUAUUGAACCGCAUGGUUCAAUAGUGAAAGACGGUUUUGCUGUCACUUAUAGCUUGAUCCGCGUCGCAUGAGCUAGUUGGUAAGGUAACGGCUUACCAAGGCUACGAUGCGUAGCCGACCUGAGAGGGUGAUUGGCCACACGGGAACUGAGACACGGCCCAGACUCCUACGGGAGGCAGCAGUAGGGAAUCUUCCGCAAUGGGCGAAAGGCGGACAGAGCAACGCCGCGUGAGUGAUGAAGGUGUUCGGACCGUAAAGCUCUGUUAUUAGGGAAGAAGAAAUGCGUAAGUAACUAUGCAGGUCUUGACGGUACCUAAUCAGAAAGCCACGGCUAACUACGUG
RNAcentral lists this ribosomal RNA (497 nucleotides) under uncultured bacterium. RNAcentral's name for it is "partial 16S ribosomal RNA". It matches the Rfam family "Bacterial small subunit ribosomal RNA", at positions 28 to 507 of the family's 1533-position model. The record is from RNAcentral.